GCCUACGGCCACACCUCCCUGAACGCGCCCAGUCUCGUCUCAUCUCGGAAGCUAAGCAGGGUCGGGCCUGGUUACACUUGGAUGGGAGGAAGGAAAUGUCAGUGGAGGCC
Ribosomal RNA from Bison bison bison, 110 nucleotides. NCBI's taxonomy places the organism in Eukaryota, Metazoa, Chordata, Mammalia, Artiodactyla, Bovidae. The record is from Ensembl.